RNAcentral lists this ribosomal RNA (422 nucleotides) under uncultured bacterium. RNAcentral describes it as "bacterial SSU rRNA". It matches the Rfam family "Bacterial small subunit ribosomal RNA", at positions 355 to 774 of the family's 1533-position model. The record is from RNAcentral.
UGAGGAAUAUUGGGCAAUGCCCGCAAGGGUGACCCAGCAACGCCGCGUGGAGGAUGAAUGUCGCAAGAUUGUAAACUCCUGUUAGAGGGGAAGAAUAGUACCGGUUGGACCGGUAUAUGACUGUACCCUCAGAGAAAGCCCCGGCUAACUACGUGCCAGCAGCCGCGGUAAUACGUAGGGGGCAAGCGUUGUCAGGAUUUACUGGGUGUAAAGGGCGCGCAGGCGGGAUAAAAAGUCAGUGGUGAAAUCCUACAGCUUAACUGUAGAACUGCCUCUGAUACUUUUAUUCUUGAGUUCGGGAGAGAGAGACGGAAUUCCAGGUGUAGUGGUGAAAUACGUAGAUAUCUGGAAGAACACCAGUUGCGAAGGCGGUCUCUUGGUCCGACACUGACGCUGAGGCGCGAAAGCGUGGGGAGCAAACA